GGUACUGAGUGGGAAUGAUUAGAAUAAAAUUGAGGACUCUAGCAGCGGACUUAGAAUGGUAUCAGCGGGUUCUCAUCCUACAACCUGACUUUGGAAGUUGGAGAUAAGGGGUGUCUAGGGGUUGGGUCAGACUCCAGUUUUGGAGUCUGACUCACAGUUGGGCGGAGCCAAGGCCCCCUGAGGCUGAGCCAGAACCUCUGAGAGUGAACCUGGAGACUCAGAGGGCAGCUGGCAGGGCUCACAGUGUGGGGUCCCACCCUGCAGAGGCUGGGUCAGGCCCUCAAGGGCUGGGUUGCUGGCUUCAAGAGGCUGGGCCAGGAUGUCAAGGGGCGGAGUUCCGGGUUCCACAGCUGGGACAGUGUUGCCCAGAGCUGAUUCCUGGGACUUGCAGAAACGUGCGAAGCUGCUCCUGCCGCACGUCCACCAGGUACCUGCAGAUGGGAAGCGCCCUGUCAGGGACCCAGAUUUUGAUCCCCAGCCAGGAUGUUCCCCACCCUCCACCCCACUGACUCACCGGGCUAAUUCCACAAUCAAGUUCCCUCCGGGUGCCACACAGGCCCCAAGCUCAGGGAUGAGAAGAUGGACCAUACUGCAGAGAGGACGGAGGACAGGCUGAGAUUCAGCUCCAAAUCCGGAGGGAGGAUGGGGCUCUGGGAUCCCAGACAAUGAGGGAGGAGGGGUGGCAAAACUGGAGUCUGGGUCCUGGGGAAAGAAGGGAGCAGGAGGUCUGGACUCCUGGGUCUGAGGGAGGAGGGGCUGGGGGCCUGGACCCCUGGGUCUAAGCAAGGAGGGGCUGGGGGCCUGGACUCCUGGGUCUGAGGGAGGAGGGGCUGGGGGCCUGAUCCUGGGUCUUUGUGAGCACAGCUGCCUCCCCGCUUACCCACAGGCCACAUAGAGGAGCUGGAAUCGGCCGUUGUAGCAGCUCUUGUGGUGGAGAGUCUGAGCAGAAUUGAGCGGCAGGAAGUGGACGGAGGCUCUCGUCGUCCGCUUCGAUGCCGAAGGCCACGAAGGGCCCCGUGGCGAUGUCCCCCCAGUACCCGCGCGCUGCCACGCGCUCCCCACGCUGGAAAAGGAGGGAGAGAGGAGGCAGGUAAUCUAGAGAUGAUUUGCGGUGUAUGGGACCAUGUGUACAGGCUAUUUGUAAGUACAUCUUUUUUGUUUUGAGACAGUGUCUCACUCUGUUGCCCAGGCUGAAUGCAGUUGUGCCAUCAUAGUUCACUGUUACCUCGACCACCUGAGCUUAAGGGACCCUCCUCCUCCAGCUUCCCAGCUAGCUGGGGCUAGGCAUUAGCUACCACACCCAGCUAAUGUUUUAUUUCUUUUUCUUUUCUUUUUCUUUUUUUUUUUUUUUUUUUUUUUUUUUUUUGAGACGGAGUCUCGCUCUGUCGCCUAGACUGUAGUGCAGUGGCGCGAUCCCGGCUCACUGCAAGCUCCGCCUCCCGGGUUCACGCCAUUCUUCUGCCUCAGCCUCCGGAGUAGCUGGGACUACAAGCGCCCGCCACCACACCCGGCUAAUUUUUUGUAUUUUUAGUAGAGACGGGGUUUCACGUGUUAGCCAGGAUGGUCUCGAUCUCCUGACCUCGUGAUCCACCCGCCUCAGCCUCCCAAAGUGCUGGGAUUACAGGCGUGAGCCAUCGCGCCCGGCGGCUAAUUUUUUUUUUUUUUUUUUUGUAUUUUUAGUAGAGACGGGGUUUCACCGUGUUAGCCAGGAUGGUCUCGAUCUCCUGACCUCGUGAUCUGCCUGCCUCGGUCUCCCAAAGUGCUGGGAUUACAGGCGUGAGCCACCGCGCCCGGCCAAUAUUUUAUUUCUUGUAGAGACGGGGUCUCACUAUGUUGACCAGGCCAGUCUCAAACUCGUGGUCUCAAGCAGUCCUCCCACCUCAGGCUCCCAAAGUGUUAGGAUUACAGGCGUGAGCCACCGCCCCUGGCAAUACUAUACAAUUUUAUAAGGGACUUGAGCAUCCUUGGAUCUUGGUAUCUGCAGGGGUCCUGGAACCAGUCCCCAGUGUUACUGAGGGAUGACUGUAUAUACCUUUGCAUAUAAUAUAUAUACACAUAGACAUACAAAUAGUUUCAUGUUAGUUGUUUAAGAACUUAAUAGAAGAGAACUAUGUGCCUUUAGUAAAAUAGAUCAGUUUAGUUCUAACUGUUUAAGAACUUUGAACAAUCUGUACUGUGCAAUGUACUCUGAAUUCCCUGGGUCAUUAAUGACUGAUAUGGUUUGGAUCUGUGUCCCUGCUUAAAUCUCAUGUUGAAUUGUAAUCCCCAAUAUUGGAGGCGGGGCCUGGUGGGAGGUGAUUGGGUCACAGGGGCAGAUUUCUCCCUUGCUGUUCUCGUGAUAGUGAGUUCCCACAAAAUCUGGUUAUUUGCAAGUGUGCGCCUCUUCCCCACUGCCUCUCUUGCCCCUUUUCCUGCCGUGGAACAGAUGCCUGCAUCCCCUUCGCCUCCUGUCAUGAUUGGCUAGGCUGAAGAUCAGCAUGUGUCGGGCCACAGCUUCCAGAUUAUUCUCCAGCACAAAGAACUAGAAGGAUGGACAGGGCAGAAUAAUUCUGAGACCUGUUUGCCUGGGUCCUAGGAGACCCAGGAGAGCAGGCCCUCAGCUCUCUCCUUCCACACACCCGAGUUCUGUACACCAGCCUCUUCCUUCAAACACAGAAGUCUGUGUCCCCAGAGCUCUCUUCCCUUCCAUUACUCAGAAGACCUCAUCCUCGAGCUCUUCCCCACUAUAGAACCCAGGAGUUCCAAACCCCAGCCCCUUCCUUCCCCCAAGACGCAUCGGUUCGCUCCCAGCUUCUGCCUCCCUCAGAUCUAGGAGUCUCCAGCCCCUUCAUUCCUGGACCUGAGGUUUUAGAAUUUCAAUCCCUUCCUCCCUCAAGGACUCGGGAAUCUGGGCUCUCAUCUUCAUCCCAGCUCACGUUGAACCUCCUGCGAGGCCAGAACUUCGCUCGGGACAGGGUCCGCAGCAGGUGCCGUCCAUCCACAGAGCCCAGAAGCAGCACAUCUAGCUCGGGGUUGCUGUGCACUGUAUCGGCCUGGGAGUCUGGGUCCACAGGAGGACCUGGCAAGAUGACAGCUGGCUGGGGCACCAUGGUGGUUGGCAGAGCGUCCACCGUAGCAUCCCCUAUAAAAAAUGGACUACAAAUCCCAG
This 3148-nucleotide long non-coding RNA is filed under the name Homo sapiens (human). RNAcentral describes it as "HSALNT0262427". Lineage: Eukaryota; Metazoa; Chordata; Mammalia; Primates; Hominidae. The record is from RNAcentral.